UAUCUCGUCAAAUCCCAUUGUCCGUCAUAUAUCAAAUUUAUAUGACUUCCAGUUCGAGAUAUGAAAAACUCUUUUUCCAAAAUACCUGGCCAGAAAUUUAUCGAACUUAGUCUCAUAAAUCACAUAGGAUCACUCAUAAGCUAUCAAGAUCGAUAGAUCCCAUCUAGAUUCAAUCCUAUUCCAAAAUGAACCUACUGUAGCCAAUCCGCACUACAAGGAUCCGAAUGGCUAGG
RNAcentral lists this long non-coding RNA (233 nucleotides) under Phoenix dactylifera (date palm). Its description in RNAcentral is "long non-coding RNA (PDAC_LNC011024)". The record is from RNAcentral. Lineage: Eukaryota; Viridiplantae; Streptophyta; Magnoliopsida; Arecales; Arecaceae.